AUGCAUUCUAGUUCUGGAAGAAAGUAUGAUUCUGGUGCCUUCAAGCAUAAGAAGAAAAAAUUAGAAGAAGAUGCUGAAAUUCAAAGGGGUGCUCUUGAUAAAUAUGUUGUGAUAGUACCCCAAAAUGGUAAUAUUGAUGAUGGUCACGAUUAUAAUGCAGUAGAGGUUGAGGUUGUCACUGCAGAAAUUCAUGAAGGUGAUCAUGGUCUUGGUGAUAAUGCGCAAGAGGUUGAGGUUGCCGCUACAGAAAUUGAUGAAGGUAAUGAUGUCAAUAUUUUAGAUGAAGAUCAUGAUCCUAAUAUUUCGGAUGACAUGAAUAAUUCCGUUCAGCCUGAUAUAUUUGACCCUAGAAAUUGGGAUGGACUUGAUCCAAAGAAGAUUGAUAUCUUGCUGCAAAAGGGUCCUAAAAGAGAAGAUAUUGAGUAUGGUCCUUAUGACAAGUUGUCUAGAAGGUUUUCUGCAUCAUCAUUUAGUAGAAUUCUCUCAAAUGGAGAAGAGUUUGACAGAGAGUGGCUUGUGUACAACAGCGGCGUCGAUAAAGCAUUUUGUUUUUGUUGCAAAUUAUUAAAAAGAGGGCAUGUGAGAGGACAGCUAGCAAAUGAGGGUUUAAGUGACUAGAUUCAUCUUGGGGCUAGACUAAAAGAGCAUGAAUCAAGUAGAGAGCAUAUCACAAAUAUGACUGCAUGGUAUGACUUCCAUGUCAGGAUGCAGAAGAAUCAAACAAUUGAUAAAGUUGCUCAGCGAGAACUUGAAAAGGAAAAGGAGCAUUGGAGAAAAGUUUUGCUCAGGAUUUUGUUGAUUGUAAAAUUUCUUGCAAGACAUAAUAUAGCAUUUCGUGGCACCAAUAGCAAGUUGUACCAAGAGGGCAAUGGGAAUUUCCUAGGACUGAUUGAAAUGUUAGCUGAAUUUGACCAGUUAUCAAAGAGCAUGUUGAUCGCAUCACCAAUGAAAAAAUUCGUGAUCACGCUACUGCCAUCAGGUCAAGAAUCAUUGAAAAGGUAA
This 1002-nucleotide ribosomal RNA is filed under the name Triticum aestivum (bread wheat). RNAcentral describes it as "partial small subunit ribosomal RNA". The record is from RNAcentral. Lineage: Eukaryota; Viridiplantae; Streptophyta; Magnoliopsida; Poales; Poaceae.